CCUACGGGGGGCAGCAGUGAGGAAUAUUGGUCAAUGGCCGUAAGGCUGAACCAGCCAAGUAGCGUGAGGGAAGACUGCCCUAUGGGUUGUAAACCUCUUUUAUGCGGGGAUAAAGGUGUCCACGUGUGGAUGUUUGCAGGUACCGCAUGAAUAAGGACCGGCUAAUUCCGUGCCAGCAGCCGCGGUAAUACGGAAGGUCCGGGCGUUAUCCGGAUUUUUUGGGUUUAAAGGGAGCGUAGGCCGGUCUUUAAGCGUGCCGUGAAAUUUUGUGGCUUAACCAUGAGAGUGCGGCGCGAACUGGAGACCUUGAGUGCGCGGAAGGCAGGCGGAAUUCGUGGUGUAGCGGUGAAAUGCUUAGAUAUCACGAAGAACCCCGAUUGCGAAGGCAGCCUGCCGCAGCGUUACUGACGCUGAAGCUCGAAAGCGCGGGGAUCGAACAGGAUUAGAUACCCCUGUAGUC
This 460-nucleotide ribosomal RNA is filed under the name uncultured bacterium. RNAcentral describes it as "partial 16S ribosomal RNA". It matches the Rfam family "Bacterial small subunit ribosomal RNA", at positions 338 to 795 of the family's 1533-position model. The record is from RNAcentral.